UGGGGAAUUUUGGACAAUGGGGGCAACCCUGAUCCAGCCAUGCCGCGUGCGGGAAGAAGGCCUUCGGGUUGUAAACCGCUUUUGUCCGGAAAGAAAAGGCAUCCCCUAAUACGGGGUGUCCUUGACGGUACCGGAAGAAUAAGCACCGGCUAACUACGUGCCAGCAGCCGCGGUAAUACGUAGGGUGCGAGCGUUAAUCGGAAUUACUGGGCGUAAAGCGUGCGCAGGCGGUUCGCUAAGUCUGAUGUGAAAGCCCCGGGCUCAACCUGGGAACUGCAUUGGAAACUGGCGAGCUUGAGUGUGGCAGAGGGGGGUGGAAUUCCACGUGUAGCAGUGAAAUGCGUAGAGAUGUGGAGGAACACCGAUGGCGAAGGCAGCCCCCUGGGCUAACACUGACGCUCAGGCACGAAAGCGUGGGGAGCAAACAGG
RNAcentral lists this ribosomal RNA (429 nucleotides) under uncultured beta proteobacterium. RNAcentral's name for it is "bacterial SSU rRNA". It matches the Rfam family "Bacterial small subunit ribosomal RNA", at positions 355 to 776 of the family's 1533-position model. Lineage: Bacteria; Pseudomonadati; Pseudomonadota; Betaproteobacteria. The record is from RNAcentral.